RNAcentral lists this ribosomal RNA (225 nucleotides) under uncultured bacterium. RNAcentral's name for it is "partial 16S ribosomal RNA". It matches the Rfam family "Bacterial small subunit ribosomal RNA", at positions 109 to 334 of the family's 1533-position model. The record is from RNAcentral.
CGGAACACGUACGCAACCUUCCUUUAACUGGAGAAUAGCCCCUCGAAAGAGGGAUUAAUACUCCGUAACAUAUACAUGUGGCAUCACAAAUAUAUUAUAGCUCCGGCGGUUAAAGAUGGGCGUGCGCCUGAUUAGAUAGUUGGCGGGGUAACGGCCCACCAAAUCUGCGAUCAGUAACUGGUGUGAGAGCACGACCAGUCACACGGGCACUGAGACACGGGCCCG